RNAcentral lists this long non-coding RNA (1358 nucleotides) under Homo sapiens (human). Its description in RNAcentral is "HSALNT0080294". Lineage: Eukaryota; Metazoa; Chordata; Mammalia; Primates; Hominidae. The record is from RNAcentral.
UGCUUUCCAUUUGCUUGGUAAAUUUUCCUCCAUCUCUUUUGAGCCUGUGUGUGUCUUUACAUGUGAGAUGGGUCCCUGAAUACAGUGCACCAGUGGGUCUUGCCUGUUUAUCUAAUUUGCCAGUCUGUGUCUUUUAAUCGGAGCAUUUAGCCCAUUUACAUUUAAGGUUAAUAUUGUUAUGUGUGAAUUUGAUCCUGUCAUCAUGAUGCUAGCUAGCACACGCUAGUUGAUGCAGUUUCAUCAUAGUGUCAUUGGUCUUUAUAUUUUGGUGUGUUUUUGCAGUGGCUUGUACCAGUUUUUCCUUUCCAUAUUUAGUGAGGAAGCUAUUUUCUAACUUCAUGAGUGUUCCUAGCAAUUCAUAGGUUAAUCACCCAUUAGAGUCUCAAGAACCUGGAGAUUUGUUGAAGUCAGUAAUGGUUUCCUAAGGAAUGAAGCAGGCAUAGAUUUUUACCUCUUUCUUUAUAACUUUAUAUUUUGACAUCAUGUUGGCUCUGAGUUGGAUGAAUAUCCCAUUUCCAUUUUCUGUAGCAAACAGGAAGCUAAACAUGAUGUUUUAUUAUCAUAACAUAGCAUUGCGAUUACACUAGCUUUGCUAUACCAUUGAAUACCACCCCAAGGGAUAGCUUAAGAUAAACUAUUAGAAGUCUCAAAUUAUAUUUUUAGUAGCAAACCUCUAAAAUUGUAUUGGCUUAAAUCUCACAAGACAGAACAUUUUAUUCUCUAAAUAGUCUAAGUUAUACUGUUGGUUUAAACAAUAGCAUAAAUAAAAUGUCCUGAAAAAUUUUGGCAGUCAUAGAAGACAUCAUCAAAAGAUCACAGUGCCAAAUGACAUCUACAGGUUAGGUCCCAUUUAUAUUUAUACCAGUUUACAGUAAAUUUGAAAAUUCUUCUCGCCUUACUAGCAUAGUUUCUAAUUUUCCAGUUUUCCUUCCAAAUACUUUCCAGGAUUCCCCAGAAGGUUACACAGGUCCAUGAAUCAUUCACUGGCACUUGGUAAGGUAAUGAAGAAACAAAGACUCUCGCUUGGAAGCCAGAUCCCACAACAGUCAGCUUCUGUACUGGACUUGAUUGCUUUGACCACCUGUUGUUGCUGAUGAAGCACCACUGUCCCUGCUGCUGGUGUCACCUGUCCCCUGAUGGGCACACCAUGCGUUAAUUAACUUCUGUUUUUCUUGCAUUAAUAUGACAUUUGUUUUCACAAGAGUGUCUCAACUAAGAACCAUGAAAUGAGAACAGAGACAAAGGCAGCCUAAAAACAGAUGCCCAAAACCACACAAACCAGUUGUCAAUUCAGGAAGAAUGGGUGGAUCGCUGAUAAUGAACAGGAGGGAAUUGAGUGAACAAUCCGAAAACUGAAA